UCUUUUUUUUAUUGAGAUAAUAUUAUUAUAAGAUUUUGAAUAUUUUAUAAUUUUUUUCAUAAAUUAUAUUUUCUAAAAUUUUUUAUAAACCUAUUACUGUGACAAAGAAACUAAUUAUUUGUGGACCGGUUGUAGCGCCAGCUGCAGUGCCGGGUAGCUAAGUACGGAAGAGAUAACCGCUGAAAGCAUCUAAGUGGGAAACUCACCUCAAAACUAGUUCUUCCUAUAGAGCCGUCGUAGACUACGACGUUGAUAGGCUGGGUGUGGAAGCGCGGUAACGCGUGUAGCUGACCAGUACUAAUAGCUCAAUUGGCUUGAUUUA
RNAcentral lists this ribosomal RNA (322 nucleotides) under Kiritimatiellia bacterium. RNAcentral describes it as "partial 23S ribosomal RNA". It matches the Rfam family "Bacterial large subunit ribosomal RNA", at positions 2670 to 2925 of the family's 2925-position model. The record is from RNAcentral. Lineage: Bacteria; Pseudomonadati; Kiritimatiellota; Kiritimatiellia.